RNAcentral lists this long non-coding RNA (6070 nucleotides) under Nicotiana tabacum (common tobacco). RNAcentral describes it as "long non-coding RNA (NTAB_LNC002218)". The record is from RNAcentral. Lineage: Eukaryota; Viridiplantae; Streptophyta; Magnoliopsida; Solanales; Solanaceae.
UGGUUUUUUUGGGACUUGGCAUGAAAGUUCAGAAGACAAAAGAAUGCAGCAGGGAAGGGAAGACUUCUCCUGCUGUAGUAGUAAAAAAUGUAGCAAAAGGAAACAGCAAGCGUCACUCAGAAAGAGCACUAUGCUAAAGAAAAAAGGAAAAAAUAUUCCUUUUUGUUUUCUUCUGUAAGGGAGAGAGAAGUUACUAAGUGGAUAUACCAUCAAGGCUUUAAAAUAUUUGGCAAAAGAAGAAAAAGUAAGUUUGUAUCAUAUAACACUAUGAAAAAUGAUAAAAUAAAAUAGAACUUUUACAUUUAAAAGAAGCAGCAUGAGAUUAAAAAUCUGAACUCAGAGUAGCAGGUUUUCGGGGGAGGGCUUUACACACCAGUGCAUGUGCCGAAUUUCAGCAACUUUAUGGCUAGGUACCUACCAUGAGGUUAGGUCCUUAUAUAGAUCUCACCCAUCUAAACAACACUUGUGUCCAACAACUCUAGAGUGAGUAGAUUCAAAAAGUACCAAAUUGGCCCUGCUUGUUUGUCUCUCUACAGGCUCAAAAGCUAGAGCAACAUACAUACAAAGAUUCUUUGAUAUGACUAAUGCUAGGUUUGAAAAGAAACUGCAAAAGAAUGGGAACCGGAAAACAACCCAUUUUACGAGUAUCUCACAAACACAAACAAAAGAGCAAAGGCUUUUUGUUUGUUGAGAAAUUGCCUAGAAAUCAGAUGCUUUGUCCGAUGGGUCAGCUAGUCGGAAGCUAUGAUCUCGUGCAUAAUGGCUAGGAGAAUUAUGAAGAGUUCGGAGAUCCCAUGUUUGUGAGAGGAAAGAGAGAUUUGAGACUUGACUUUGGUGACAAACGCAGUAGUGGAUCAACGAGUACGGAGGGAAAGCCCAAGAUUUUGUGCAAAUUGCAAAGUUGACCUUGAGAAGGAAUACGAUCAUGUGAAUUACAGUUCCUGGUUUCUGUUGUGAUGAAGAAAUGCAUUCAUGGGUCAAUGGAGUAAGUAGAUCAAGUCUUGUAUCUCAACAAACAUAAAAUUCGUCUUAGUAAAUGGAAGCUCAUAUUGGUUCUUUGGAAGCUCGAGGGACUUGUGGUAGGGAGACCCGUUAUCUCUUAUGUUGUUCACCUUAACAAUAGAACCUUUGAGCAAAAUGAUGCACAGAGCAGUGACAAGAGGUUAUUUGAGGGGUUCACUGCUGCUAUCGGGAAAACAUCGUAGAGUGACAAUCACACACCUAUAUUCAUGGAUGACACAUUGGUGUUCUGCGAUGCAGAUAUUUCCUAGUUGACAUCCUUGAGAUAGAUUCUUGUAUGGUUCCAUAAGUGUCAGGACUUAAGACCUGCCGCAAAAAGUGUGAGAUAAUACUAGUAAGCGAUAUGGACAAUAUUGAAGACCAAGCACGAGUGUUUGAUUGCAGGACUUGACCACUCAUGACCAUUUACUUCAAACUGCCUUGUGUUCUUCGAACAAAGACCAAUCUAUGCGGAACCUGAUAAUUCAAAAAUUUGAGAAGAGACAAGCAACGUGGCAAAUGAGGUACUCGUCAAAAGGGAGAAAAAAGUAUUAAACAAGAGCAUGAUGGAAAAGUAUUGAUCUAGUAUGAUGGGAAAGGUGGAAAGGCUCAUUCAGCAGAUGAAACUGGAAAGUAUCACUUGGUCAAUUGGAGACUAACGACUACAAAAAUAGGGAAGGACCUGAGGUAACAGACCUUUAAGUGGUCAACAAGGCGACGAAUUUCAAAAGGUUGAUCAAUAAGCUCUACAAAUAGAACGCCAUAUUCCAUGGACAUGACUCGUGGAAGUUGGGUGCAAGGAGCUAUGAAGUGUUUACAAUAGUCAUGCUAUCACAUACUUUUGGUGAGGAAGGACUCGGGAUUCCCAUAUGAAUCAACUUAGACUUCUAAAGGCCCACUAGAAAGUGGGCUUCUUUGCUGAGUUGGUGGCAAGGUUGCGGCAGUUGAAAACUUGAAGAAUAUGAGGAUAAUGCUUCAUGCGCAACCUUUUGAAUGAAGAUGUGGAUCACCUCUUGUUACAUUGGCGAGUGGCUGCACGACUAUGGCGGGUAGUUCUGAAUUGGUUCAGGGUACAUUCAAUGACGUUAUGCCAACUAGAGCAUGCGCUACAUGGCAGAGCCUUUAAAAGAAGGAAGAGAAGAUGUUAGAGCAUAUGAUGACGCCCACCUAACUAUCAUAUGGGUCCUGUGAAAGAGAAAAAAUAACAUAACUUUUGAGGGGAUAGAAAAUGACUUUCUAUAUUUUUGCUUUCUCUUUUUUAAGGGUUACCACGAGGCUUGAGGUUUGGAGAUAGACCUGGGAAUCUAAAUGUUUCAAGUUAAGCAAGACUAAAACAGAAUACUUGGAGUGCAAAUUCAGUAACGGGAAUCAUGAAGCGGACCUAGAUGUGAAGCUUGAUACUCAAGUUAUCCCAAAGAGAGGCAGUUUCAAGUAUCUCGGAUCUAUAAUCCAAGGUAACUAGUAGAUUGAUGAGGAUGUCACACAUUGUAUUGGAAUGAGAUGGAGGAAAUGGAGACUCGCAUUUGGUGCUCUAUAUGAUAAGAAUGUAUCACCAAGACUUAAGGGUAAAUUCUACAGAGUGGUAGUUAGACCAACUAUGUUGUAUAGGGUUGAAUGUUGGCCAAUCAAAAACUUCUGUGUUCGGAAGAUGAAAGUAGCAGAAAUGAGGAUGUUGAGAUAGAUGAGUGGGUGUACCAGGAGAGAUAAGAUUGGGAAUAAAGUUAUUCCAGACAAAGUGGGAGUUGCCUCUGUGGAAGACAAGAUGUGGGAGUCUAGGAUGAGAUGGUUCGGGCAUGUUAAGAGGAGAAACAUUGAUGCUAUUGUUAGGAUGCGUGAGAGGUUGGUCAUGGCGGGUUUGAGAAGAGGUUAAGGUAGGCCAAAAACGUAUUGGGGAGAGGUGAUUAGGUAGGACAUGGCGCUGUUUCAGCUUACUGAGGACAUGGCCCUUGAAAGGAGGGCGUGGAGGUCGAGAAUUAGGGUAGAAGGUUAGUAGGUAGUUGAAAGUUUUCCUUUUUCUUACCAGUAGUAUUAGUAGCACUCAUGUAUCUUCAUAUUCUUAGAUCUAUAUUACUUCAUGUUAUUUAGUUCCCUUCAGUUAUCGUACCUCACGACCCUUGAAAGGAGGGUGUGGAGGUUGAGAAUUAGGGUAGAAGGUUAGUAGGUAGUUGAAAGUUACCCUUUUUCUUACCAGUAGUAUUAGUAGCACUCAUGUACCUUCGUAUUAUUAGAUCUAUAUUACGUCAUGUUGUUUAGUUCACUUCAGAUUAGGGUAGAAGGUUAGUAGGUAGUUGAAAGUUUCCCUUUUUCUUACCAAUAGUAUUAGUAGCACUUAUGUACCUACAUAUUCUUAGAUCUAUAUUACGUCAUGUUGUUUAGUUCACUUCAGUUAUUGUAUUUCCCUGUUGUUACUGUUUGGUACUACUACUACUUCUUCUUCUUCUUCUUCACUAAGUAGGGGUAAGGUCUGCGUAUUGAAAAUAACCCCUCUACCUUCACUAAGUAGGGGUAUGUAUUAGGCUUAUGUACCUUCAUAUUCUUAGAUCUAUAUUACGUCAUGUUGUUUAGUUCACUUCAGUUAUUGUAUUUCCCUGUUGUUACUGUUUGGUACUACUACUUCUUCUUCUUNUUCUUCUCNCUAAGUAGGGGUAAGGUCUGCGUAUUGAAAAUAACCCCAGUCGUGGGAGGCAAGGCACACGNNNNNNNNNNNNNNNNNNNNNNNNNNNNNNNNNNNNNNNNNNNNNNNNNNNNNNNNNNNNNNNNNNNNNNNNNNNNNNNNNNNNNNNNNNNNNNNNNNNNNNNNNNNNNNNNNNNNNNNNNNNNNNNNNNNNNNNNNNNNNNNNNNNNNNNNNNNNNNNNNNNNNNNNNNNNNNNNNNNNNNNNNNNNNNNNNNNNNNNNNNNNNNNNNNNNNNNNNNNNNNNNNNNNNNNNNNNNNNNNNUACACGCUACCCUUCCCAGACCCCACCUGUGGGAAUGUAUUAGGUUUGUUGUUUUUGUUGUUAUUUUUUUAAGGAGUAGCCAAUAAUUCUUAGUUAGAUUUUGGUGCACCUAAGUAGGGGUAAGGUCUUCGUAUUGAAAACAACCCAUCUACCUUCACUAAGUAGAGGUAAGGUCUGCGUACACACUACCCUCCACAUACCCUAUCUGUGGGAAUGUACUAGGUUUAUUGUUUUUUUUAAGGAGUAGCAAAUAAUUCUUAGUUAGAUUUUGGUGCACCUAAGAGGUUGUUGUUUGUAGAGAAGAUUGUGUCAUUGCAUAGAACUAUACUUUGGUGUGUGCUCUCAUUUUUUUUUUUGAUAAACUACUUUUACACGAGAGUUUUUUCAUAUCAAUAAUAUUAUUUACUUUAUCAAAAAUGAAAUAAAUUAUUAAAAAAGUAAAUUAACGUCAAAGAUGGGAAAUAGGUGAAAAUAGAAAAAGGUAAACGCUCAUAAUAGUCGUCAAGAUGACUAUCAAAAAUAUUUGGAUUAUAGUAUAAGUAAGUUUUUUUGGUUGACAGUCUUUUGCUGGUUCUUUUUUUUUAUAUUUUAAAAAAGAAUUUUUGUUUGACUUUCAGAAUGCUAUUUUAUUUUGUUAACCAAAGAAAUAUGUUUUCCUUCUCUAGUCAACUCUUCAGAAUAACUUCUCUAUGCCAACAAUGGCCUGGGUAUUGAAUUUUGCAAAGAAGAAGAUAACACAAACUAGUGCACGAUGCUAACAUACAAUAAAUUUUUGGUUAUGUUCUUUUCCAAUUUUACUUAUGUUACACUAACGAAAAUGUGAUAGUGAUACCCACCCAAGACCUCGUUUCCCUUCACAUUUCCCUUCCUAAUCCCUCAUUGCUUGUGCUAAGGAGGAAAGGAAAAGAAAAGAAAAGAAAAGAGAAUCACUAACACUUUUACAUAUUCACUUAAUCAAGAAACUUUUAAGUACCACGCCCUUUUUGGAACAUCUCCUCUUAUCCUUCAUCUAUACUUCCAACUAGAUUGAUAACCAUCACCUGUGAUCCACCUUCUUUUAAACUUGAAUGGACCAAACCUUUUUCUUCGUGCCUUUAUCUGAAAGCCAAAUACUCAGCAUCUAUAUGUGUAGCCACCAGUGACUUAUUUAUUUCAUUAUAUGCAAAUCCAAUAUCCUCAUAAACUACGCAAAAUUACUAUAAUGGGUAAUAGAAGCUAACCAAUUUACUUCAUUAACACCACCCAAUAUUUAUUUUCAUAAUGGUAAUCAUGAAAUGAAGACGACCAGACAAAGCUUCUGCAUAAUGUGAUACACCAAAGUGCCAUAGAUAUGUUAAUCACCAAUUAAUAAAUUUUAUUUGGCUCCCCAGCACCGACAAGAGAAAAAUAAAUAAUAGAGAACAUUCUUUAUAUAAUUUUACAUGAAAUAAGAAGAUAAUAUAAAAGUACCUAUGUUGUAACCUCAAUCGGAAUUCUUUUUACUGAUUGACCAGCCGAAAGUCGCAGGAUGGACCUUUAAAAAAAGGUAAAGUAGAAGAAAUUAGCUCAACCACUUUAUUCUCAUUUCAAGCAACGAAAAUUCAUCUCAGAACCCUAAUUCGUUUCAUUCAAAUAGUUCGGUAAAAUUAAUACAAGUAGUCUUUUAACUAGUAAAAUCAAUAAUAAUAUGGACAAUCAAAAAAUACAUUUCCAUAAUCCGGAUGAAUAAGUAUAAUUUCUGUUCUUAAUAACCUAAUCAAUGAAAAAAACCUAUGAAUAUUAAAGUAGAUAUUGAUACGGUACAAAUUCAGAUUUGCUUUAGGUUUACCUUCGAAACAUGGUGAAAGGGGUUGGCGCCCAAAUAAGCUGAUAAAUUGAGGUGAUUUAUUUAUAGCUUUGUCUAAGAGGAAGCUCGCGCCAAUGGCGAACUGAAAAUGCUUCAGCGCGGCGAUUUCAUCUGUUUCUCUUACACUCCGUUUUUUCUUUAUUUGUGCAUCCGGAACUUUUCUUUCUUUUCUUUGUCUUCUUUUUAGUUAAACUAGCAUACCUACAUGCGCAAUGCGAUUAGUUCAAAGGGAAAAAGAGCGGAAAAAGAUAAUAGAAAAAGAUGUAUAUUGCUGACAAAAUUUAACGACGACAUUCAAAAGAAUUAAAC